This 112-nucleotide small nuclear RNA is filed under the name Danio rerio (zebrafish). Its description in RNAcentral is "U2 spliceosomal RNA". It matches the Rfam family "U2 spliceosomal RNA". Rfam says of the family: U2 is a small nuclear RNA (snRNA) component of the spliceosome (involved in pre-mRNA splicing). Complementary binding between U2 snRNA (in an area lying towards the 5' end but 3' to hairpin I) and the branchpoint sequence (BPS) of the intron results the bulging out of an unpaired adenosine, on the BPS, which initiates a nucleophilic attack at the intronic 5' splice site, thus starting the first of two transesterification reactions that mediate splicing. Lineage: Eukaryota; Metazoa; Chordata; Actinopteri; Cypriniformes; Danionidae. The record is from Rfam by way of RNAcentral.
AUAUCUUUUGGAUCAGCCUUUUGGCUAAGAUUAAGAGUACUAUCUAUUCUUAUCAAUUUAAUACCCGAUAUGUGUCCUACCCGGGCACUAUAUAUUACAUUUGUGACUGUUA